CCUAGCUAAGCAGCCGUCUUCAAAAGCUUUUGUCGGGGUUUUCGGUCUAUCAAUCGAGGUCGGACCCAAUGCCGAGACCAAAUGGUUCAUCGUUAGAGUUCAUAGCAAUGAAAUUCAAAAUGCAUUGAAAUCUCAGGUUUUUCCCUUUUCUUUCUCUGGAAUAUAAUUCAGUUUCUGCUGCAUCGAACUCCUGGUUGUUCUCUGAAUUUUCAAGUCCAUGGAAGCACAAACCACCCCGAAACUGAAAAAUUAAGGAAGCUGAGAAGCAUCUGCCAGAUACGGUUGUGUCCAAGGUACUGGUGGCCAAGAUUGACCGGCCAAUAGGAAUAGUCUUUUUUCAAACUGCAAAGGAUAACAACAAUGUUCUUAAUUCGUGGGCUACGAACUUGGAGAAAUUGCUUGAUCUUGUUGAGAAGAGUUGCCACCAAAUACACAAAGAAACCAUGGUUCACAAGGUUGCUCUCAAGGUUUGAGAAUCACAAAUUUUAGGUAAGCCAUACCUAAUCUUUUAUUUCGCGUAUUAAAGAGUUCUUUGAUUCAAGCAUUUGGAUUAAACAUGUGUUUCACUGGGUUGACGAGGCAUAUGUAUCAAUUUAUUUCUUUU
This is a long non-coding RNA of Prunus dulcis (almond), 604 nucleotides long. RefSeq lists it as uncharacterized. NCBI's taxonomy places the organism in Eukaryota, Viridiplantae, Streptophyta, Magnoliopsida, Rosales, Rosaceae. The transcript has 3 exons. The record is from RefSeq and is a predicted model, not a curated record.